RNAcentral lists this ribosomal RNA (1497 nucleotides) under uncultured bacterium. Its description in RNAcentral is "16S ribosomal RNA". It matches the Rfam family "Bacterial small subunit ribosomal RNA". The record is from RNAcentral.
GUUUGAUUAUGGCUCAGGAUGAACGCUGGCGGCAUGCCUAAUACAUGCAAGUCGAACGGAGUGAAGCCUUCGGGUUUCAUUCAGUGGCGAACGGGUGAGUAAUACGCAGGGAACCUGGCCAUGGCAGGGGGAUACACUCUGGAAACGGAGCAUAAGACCCCAUAGGCAGUAAGGCGGCAUCGCCUUACUGUUAAAGAAAGCUGAAAGGCUUUGGCGAUGGAUGGACCUGCGGUGCAUUAGCUUGUUGGCGAGGCAACGGCUUACCAAGGCGAUGAUGCAUAGCCGGCCUGAGAGGGCGGACGGCCACACUGGGACUGAGACACGGCCCAGACUCCUGCGGGAGGCAGCAGUAGGGAAUUUUCGUCAAUGGGCGCAAGCCUGAACGAGCAAUGCCGCGUGAGUGAGGAAGGUCUUCGGACUGUAAAGCUCUGUUGCCGGGGAAAAAGGGGAAAUGCAGGAAAUGGCAUUUCAUGGAUGGUACCCGGCCAGAAAGCCACGGCUAACUACGUGCCAGCAGCCGCGGUAAUACGUAGGUGGCGAGCGUUAUCCGGAAUGAUUGGGCGUAAAGGGUGCGCAGGCGGUCUGUUAAGUCUGAAGGCAAAGGGAUGAGCUCAACUCAUUUAUGAUUCAGAAACUGGCAGACUUGAGGACAGGAGAGGGCGGUGGAACUCCAUGUGUAGCGGUAAAAUGCGCAGAGAUAUGGAAGAACACCAGUGGCGAAGGCGGCCGCCUGGCCUGUGACUGACGCUGAGGCACGAAAGCGUGGGGAGCAAAUAGGAUUAGAUACCCUAGUAGUCCACGCCGUAAACGAUGAGGAGCAGGUGUUGGGAGUGAAAUCUCAGUGCCGAAGCCAACGCAGUGACUCCUCCGCCUGGGGAGUAUGCACGCAAGUGUGAAACUCAAAGGAAUUGACGGGGGCCCGCACAAGCGGUGGAGUAUGUGGUUUAAUUCGAAGCAACGCGAAGAACCUUACCAGGUUUUGACAUCGGAUGCGAAGGCGCAGAGAUGCGCUGGAGGCUAUCAUCCAGACAGGUGGUGCAUGGUUGUCGUCAGCUCGUGUCGUGAGAUGUUCAGUUAAGUCUGGCAACGAGCGCAACCCCCGUGGUAUGUUACUAACGCAUUUGGGCGAGGACUCAUAUCAGACUGCCGGUGACAAACCGGAGGAAGGCGGGGAUGACGUCAAAUCAUCAUGCCCCUUAUGACCUGGGCUACACACGUACUACAAUGGCGUCUACAGAGGGAAGCGACCCUGAGAAGGGAAGCGAAACCGGAAAAGGGCGUCCCAGUUCGGAUUGAAGUCUGCAACCCGACUUCAUGAAGAUGGAAUCGCUAGUAAUCGCGGAUCAGCAUGCCGCGGUGAAUACGUUCCCGGGCCUUGUACACACCGCCCGUCAAACCAUGGAAGCCGGCAACGCCCGAAGCCGGUGGCAUAACCUUUUAGGAGUGAGCCGUCGAAGGCGGGGCCGAUGACUGGGGUUAAGUCGUAACAAGGUACCC